This 685-nucleotide ribosomal RNA is filed under the name uncultured Bacteroidales bacterium. RNAcentral describes it as "bacterial SSU rRNA". It matches the Rfam family "Bacterial small subunit ribosomal RNA", at positions 68 to 743 of the family's 1533-position model. Lineage: Bacteria; Pseudomonadati; Bacteroidota; Bacteroidia; Bacteroidales. The record is from RNAcentral.
GGCAUCGGGAUUGAAGCUUGCUUCAAUUGCCGGCGACCGGCGCACGGGUGCGUAACGCGUAUGUAACCUACCUAUAACAGGGGCAUAACACUGAGAAAUUGGUACUAAUUCCCCAUAAUAUUCGGAGAGGCAUCUCUCCGGGUUGAAAACUCCGGUGGUUAUAGAUGGACAUGCGUUGUAUUAGCUAGUUGGUGAGGUAACGGCUCACCAAGGCAACGAUACAUAGGGGGACUGAGAGGUUAACCCCCCACACUGGUACUGAGACACGGACCAGACUCCUACGGGAGGCAGCAGUGAGGAAUAUUGGUCAAUGGACGCAAGUCUGAACCAGCCAUGCCGCGUGCAGGAAGACGGCUCUAUGAGUUGUAAACUGCUUUUGUACGAGGGUAAACUCACCUACGUGUAGGUGACUGAAAGUAUCGUACGAAUAAGGAUCGGCUAACUCCGUGCCAGCAGCCGCGGUAAUACGGAGGAUUCAAGCGUUAUCCGGAUUUAUUGGGUUUAAAGGGUGCGUAGGCGGUUUGAUAAGUUAGAGGUGAAAUCCCGGGGCUUAACUCCGGAACUGCCUCUAAUACUGUUAGACUAGAGAGUAGUUGCGGUAGGCGGAAUGUAUGGUGUAGCGGUGAAAUGCUUAGAGAUCAUACAGAACACCGAUUGCGAAGGCAGCUUACCAAACUAUAUCUGA